CGUUUGUAAUGUUUGUAAACGUCAUGUAGACGCGUCUCUGUUGUGGUGUGUUGCAGCCCUGACGCGUUUGACGCUUCACCGCACUUGUUUACCUCGGAUAAGGAACGAGAACGUUAGCUUAGGGGUUCCAAGAGAGCAUAUUAAGUGGUAGGGGAGACCAGGGCGAGUUGUCACACUGCCUAGGACAAGGAAAAGAUGCGGCGCAGCCAGGCUGUUUUGUCGGUGUAUUUUUGUUGGACCGUCAACCACUCGCAAAACUACGGUCUUACCUGCAUAGUACAAGUCGUACGACCUGUAUAGUACUAGGUCGUGCACUGAAGAAACUUUCACCGUCAUCUGCGUCGGGUUCGCAGCGCAAAAUGUUUCAGUGCCGUGUGAGUAAAACAUUUCGUGUUUUCAAAUUUCACAAUUUGCAGGACGCGAAGGAAAGCUCUGAAGCUUCCAUGACCGAAAUAUUUGAAUUUUUCCACGGAUUUCCGGCUGGACACUGUGUUGCGUCGAGGUGCCCAAAUGAGGAAUUAAAUAUUUGAGUUAAAUUUGUAGCAGCUGAAACAAAAAGUGCACUUCAGAGACGACGCCAAUUUGUGAUGUCUCGAGAAUGCAUUCCCUGCCUUCAGACGUCAUGAACUGGAACGAGUGCAUGGUUACUCUCUUUGUGUAAAAGAUUCAGAGCCACUACCCUCUCAGCACACCCUCAGCAAGCACAGACUUGCAAAGCAGUUUCACCAGCUGUGCUGAGGAUGUACGUGGUCUCCUACCGAGCGAUACUCAGGCAUCAACGAGGCCUUAUCGGAAACGGAACAACGCUUUUUGGUCACACGAUAACAAGUUGCCCGAAUUUUCGAGUGAUGUCCAGCCACUUCUUUAUGGAGUUAAUGAUGACAGGGACCACACAAGGCUUUGUUGCCAGUUGAGGGAUGAAAUCAUCAGAUACCUAGAUGAACAUCAACUAAUACUAUGCGAAAACAAGAUGGACAGAAGAUGGCAAUAUGAUGCGCUUGGUGAAACGCUGGUCACCACAUACCCACACAUGCGACUAAGUUCCUCCAACUCUCCAGGAAAGAAUAAAUUUGUUUGGACUGACUUCAUCACAAAACUAAGCACAACACGAAAGAUGAGGAGAGUGAGACGAAGAAAGGGACUUAGGCGUGACUUGAAAGGUGGAAGCACUGUGACAAAAAGUGAUGCCCCCUAAUGGGUAAAGGCAAUUCUCAUCAAAGCCAGUGCAUUCAAUAAGCAAUGUGCAUCAUGAGAUGCAGGUGCUCCUGCUGAUGGUUGAGAGUGAUGAAGGGCGUGGAAGCCUGGUUACACUACUGAAGAAGAGCGAUGGAACAUUUCUACUUAUCAUUAUAAUGUGCAUACAUACGUAACUGGUAGCGGAUGUAGCACAUUGAGGCUCUGUAGUCUUGCUCCAGUAGGACCAUUUUCUCCUGGUGACCUGAGUUCACUACUGCAAGUAAAGAUUAUCCAGUUCAAUUUUUA
This is an RNA transcript of Ornithodoros turicata, 1482 nucleotides long. RefSeq lists it as uncharacterized. The record is from RefSeq and is a predicted model, not a curated record. NCBI's taxonomy places the organism in Eukaryota, Metazoa, Arthropoda, Arachnida, Ixodida, Argasidae. The transcript is spliced from 6 exons.